AUUGAACGCUGGCGGCAGGCUAACACAUGCAAGUCGAGCGGAAACGAGUUAUCUGAACCUUCGGGGAACGAUAACGGCGUCGAGCGGCGGACGGGUGAGUAAUGCCUAGGAAAUUGCCCUGAUGUGGGGGAUAACCAUUGGAAACGAUGGCUAAUACCGCAUGAUGCCUACGGGCCAAAGAGGGGGACCUUCGGGCCUCUCGCGUCAGGAUAUGCCUAGGUGGGAUUAGCUAGUUGGUGAGGUAAGGGCUCACCAAGGCGACGAUCCCUAGCUGGUCUGAGAGGAUGAUCAGCCACACUGGAACUGAGACACGGUCCAGACUCCUACGGGAGGCAGCAGUGGGGAAUAUUGCACAAUGGGCGCAAGCCUGAUGCAGCCAUGCCGCGUGUAUGAAGAAGGCCUUCGGGUUGUAAAGUACUUUCAGUCGUGAGGAAGGUAGUGUAGUUAAUAGCUGCAUUAUUUGACGUUAGCGACAGAAGAAGCACCGGCUAACUCCGUGCCAGCAGCCGCGGUAAUACGGAGGGUGCGAGCGUUAAUCGGAAUUACUGGGCGUAAAGCGCAUGCAGGUGGUUUGUUAAGUCAGAUGUGAAAGCCCGGGGCUCAACCUCGGAAUAGCAUUUGAAACUGGCAGACUAGAGUACUGUAGAGGGGGGUAGAAUUUCAGGUGUAGCGGUGAAAUGCGUAGAGAUCUGAAGGAAUACCGGUGGCGAAGGCGGCCCCCUGGACAGAUACUGGCACUCAGAUGCGAAAGCGUGGGGAGCAAACAGG
Molecule: ribosomal RNA, 768 nt
Filed under: uncultured Pseudoalteromonadaceae bacterium
Lineage: Bacteria; Pseudomonadati; Pseudomonadota; Gammaproteobacteria; Alteromonadales; Pseudoalteromonadaceae
Description: bacterial SSU rRNA
Rfam family: Bacterial small subunit ribosomal RNA
Source: RNAcentral